Molecule: ribosomal RNA, 372 nt
Filed under: uncultured organism
Description: partial 16S ribosomal RNA
Rfam family: Bacterial small subunit ribosomal RNA
Source: RNAcentral
GUAGGUGGCAAGCGUUGUCCGGAAUUAUUGGGCGUAAAGCGCGCGCAGGCGGUCCUUUAAGUCUGAUGUGAAAGCCCACGGCUCAACCGUGGAGGGUCAUUGGAAACUGGGGGACUUGAGUACAGAAGAGGAAAGCGGAAUUCCAAGUGUAGCGGUGAAAUGCGUAGAGAUUUGGAGGAACACCAGUGGCGAAGGCGGCUUUCUGGUCUGUAACUGACGCUGAGGCGCGAAAGCGUGGGGAGCAAACAGGAUUAGAUACCCUGGUAGUCCACGCCGUAAACGACGAGUGCUAAGUGUUAGGGGGGUUUCCGCCCCUUAGUACUGCAGCUAACGCAUUAAGCACUCCGCCUGGGGAGUACGGCCGCAAGGCUG